CCUACGGGUGGCAGCAGUGGGGAAUAUUGCACAAUGGGGGGAACCCUGAUGCAGCGACGCCGCGUGAGUGAAGAAGGGCCUCGGCGCGUAAAGCCCUGUCUGCAGGGAAGAAAAUGACGGUACCUGACGAAGAAGCCCCGGCUAACUACGUGCCAGCAGCCGCGGUAAUACGUAGGGGGCAAGCGUUAUCCGGAUUUACUGGGUGUAAAGGGGGCGCAGACGGCGAUGCAAGCCAGGAGUGAAAGGCCGGGGCCCAACCGCGGUACUGCUUUGGGAACUACCGGGCUGGAGUGGCGGAGGGGUAGGCGGAAUUCGUAGUGUAGCGGUGAAAUGCGUAGAUAUUAGGCGGAACACCAGUGGCGAAGGCGGCCUACUGGACGGUGACUGACGCUGAGGCUCGAAAGCGUGGGGAGCAAACAGGAUUAGAUACCCGAGUAGUC
Molecule: ribosomal RNA, 440 nt
Filed under: uncultured bacterium
Lineage: Bacteria
Description: partial 16S ribosomal RNA
Rfam family: Bacterial small subunit ribosomal RNA
Source: RNAcentral